GGGUAAUUAACUUAAUGGUCAGAGUAUUUCUUUUACACAGAAAAAGUUAGCGGUUCAAAUCCGUUAUUACCUA
Molecule: transfer RNA, 73 nt
Filed under: Chroomonas placoidea
Lineage: Eukaryota; Cryptophyceae; Pyrenomonadales; Chroomonadaceae
Description: tRNA-Val
Rfam family: tRNA
About the family: Transfer RNA (tRNA) molecules are approximately 80 nucleotides in length. Their secondary structure includes four short double-helical elements and three loops (D, anti-codon, and T loops). Further hydrogen bonds mediate the characteristic L-shaped molecular structure. tRNAs have two regions of fundamental functional importance: the anti-codon, which is responsible for specific mRNA codon recognition, and the 3' end, to which the tRNAs corresponding amino acid is attached (by aminoacyl-tRNA synthetases). tRNAs cope with the degeneracy of the genetic code in two manners: having more than one tRNA (with a specific anti-codon) for a particular amino acid; and 'wobble' base-pairing, i.e. permitting non-standard base-pairing at the 3rd anti-codon position.
Source: RNAcentral